This 497-nucleotide ribosomal RNA is filed under the name uncultured bacterium. RNAcentral's name for it is "partial 16S ribosomal RNA". It matches the Rfam family "Bacterial small subunit ribosomal RNA", at positions 28 to 507 of the family's 1533-position model. The record is from RNAcentral.
GAUGAACGCUGGCGGCGUGCCUAACACAUGCAAGUCGAGCGGACAGACGAGGCGUUUGCUCCGCUGACGAUUGGCGCGCGCGUGUGUAAUACAUGUGGAUAACCCCCUUAUCAGAGUGGGAUCAUCUGGAAACAGGGGAUAUAACACCGGAGAAUAUCUUGAACCACAGGGGGGACUGGUGAAAUACGGCUUUGGGGUCACUCAUCGAUGGAUCCGCGCCGCAUUAGGUAGUUGGUAGGGUAACGGCCUACUAAGGCGACGAUGCGUAGGCGAACUGAGAGGCGGAUCGGCCACACUGGAACUGAGACACGGUCCAGACUCCUACGGGAGGCAGCAGUAGGGAAUGUUGCGCAAUGGGCGAAAGCCUGACGGAGCAACGCCGCGUGUGUGAAGAAGGCCUUCGGAUCGUAAAGCCCUGUUAUUAGGGAAGAACAACUUUGUCAUUAAACGUGCCGGUCUUGACGGUACCGGAUCAAAAAGCAACGGCUAACUACGUG